UGAGCAAUCUGCCCUUCUCAUCGGAAUAAGCGUUGGAAACGACGUCUAAUGCCGAAUACGACCUCCUUUCGCAUGAUCGGAGGUGGAAAGCUCCGGCGGAGAAGGAUGAGCUCGCGGCCUAUCAGCUAGUUGGUGUGGGUAAUGGCUCACCAAGGCGACGACGGGUAGCCGGCCUGAGAGGGCGACCGGCCACACUGGGACUGAGAUACGGCCCAGACUCCUAGGAGG
RNAcentral lists this ribosomal RNA (228 nucleotides) under uncultured bacterium. RNAcentral's name for it is "partial 16S ribosomal RNA". It matches the Rfam family "Bacterial small subunit ribosomal RNA", at positions 118 to 348 of the family's 1533-position model. The record is from RNAcentral.